Molecule: ribosomal RNA, 635 nt
Filed under: Trinectes microphthalmus
Lineage: Eukaryota; Metazoa; Chordata; Actinopteri; Pleuronectiformes; Achiridae
Description: partial 16S ribosomal RNA
Rfam family: Bacterial large subunit ribosomal RNA
Source: RNAcentral
CGCCUGUUUUUCAAAAACAUCGCCUCUUGCAAGACCAAAGAAUAAGAGGUCCCGCCUGCCCACUGAUUUUUAAUUCAACGGCCGCGGUAUUUUGACCGUGCUAAGGUAGCAUAAUCACUUGUCUUUUAAAUGGAGACCCGUAUGAAAGGCUUAACGAGGGCUUAACUGUCUCUUUUUUCCAGUCAAUGAAACUGAUCUCCCCGUGCAGACGCGGGGAUAUAACCAUAAGACGAGAAGACCCUAUGGAGCUUUAGACAUAAGGGCAAACUACUCUAAAUACCUCUAAACAAGAACUAAAUUUAAUAAAAACUUGCCCCCGUCUUCGGUUGGGGCGACCCUGGGGUAAUACAAAACCCCCAUGUGGAACAAGAGGACCUACAACUUCCUAACCUCUCAAAAACCAGAAAAACAAUUCUAAUUAACAGAAUCUCUGACCAAAACUGAUCCGGCCUAUAGCCGAUUAACGGAACAAGUUACCCUAGGGAUAACAGCGCUAUCCCCUUUCAAAGUCCAUAUAGACAAGGGGGCUUACGACCUCGAUGUUGGAUCAGGACAUCCUAAUGGUGCAGCCGCUAUUAAGGGUUCGUUUGUUCAACGAUUAAAGUCCUACGUGAUCUGAGUYMAGACCGGAUAGU